This is a long non-coding RNA of Dicentrarchus labrax (European seabass), 2314 nucleotides long. RefSeq lists it as uncharacterized. NCBI's taxonomy places the organism in Eukaryota, Metazoa, Chordata, Actinopteri, Moronidae. The record is from RefSeq and is a predicted model, not a curated record. The transcript has 5 exons.
GAGGCCCGAGCGUGUCACAUGGACAUGAUAUAAUGAAAAGGCAGGAACAGAGAGGCAGAGUGCGCUGAGCUCUGGGCAGAUGGAGAAGGGGCAGAAAUGUAGCUACGCAAUCAUCUGCCGACAGCCAGCAGCCAGCGGGGCCGAGCCGAGCCGAUCCUGGCCGAGCCGGACUCACUGCGCCUGAUCGGACGGGACCUCUCUAUUCGCAGUUGCACCUGCCAGCUAUGACACGCACUUUGAAAGAGGAGGAAAAAUCGCCUCGGUCCCGGAGCAGAAGCGGAGCGCCUUUCAGCGCUUCACUGGAAGUUAAUGUAUGCUGCAGAUGCCUAUGGGCUGCAAAUUAGCAAGCAGGACUCUGGAAUGACGCACCGCUGGCAAAAAGAACAAAGACAAGACCAGUGCAGAGAUGUGACUCCAGUCCGAAUAUACUGAACCAAACUGGUGAAGCACAUACCUGUAGUUGGAAUCAGCGCAGAAGCCGGACGGAUGGACGGAUGGAGCGGCAGGGAGGAUGACAUCACCAUUACCCGUGGGAGCCAAGGCCUGCCAUUCAUGCCAGCGGAUCAACGGCAGAAAGGAUGAGGCUGUGAGUACCCAAACGUGGUGUCGAAUAAAGUAAGUCCACAUCAUUAUAUGCUGAAUAUAUAUAACGACACUGUGCUUCCGUAUGUAAUGGACUACUCCCCCUUUGAAUCCUGAUAUGGGUGUUGCAGUUGUGUGCUGUCAGCUUUAUUUGUUGUGAUGUCUGUUCUGUUUCAAUUCCUCUCUGCUGCUGGAGGCGAGUUUUCACGUACCAACCGUCCAUGUCACUGCUGCGCUGCCAUGACAACCAUAUUCAUGUUUAAAACAGACGUCCUUUAAAUAAGAAGCUCAGUCGCGAUUCUCCCCCUCUGCCAGAACAGCUCAUCAACUGACAGAGUGACACAUGGACGUACUGCAGGGAGGGUGUCAGUAGGAAACAGUAUGACUGAACUAACUUCUGACUAUCAGUGAUGUGUGUUGUGUGUGUUGAAGCAUGGCUGAAUGGCAAAUUCAAUGUGUCCUUGUUGUGACUGAAUUACUGUCGUUAUUGACAAAGAAUAGGCCUUUUUAAGAGUUAAAAUUAAAGCUGCAGUAGGUCAUUUUAUGAAAAUAACUUUUUGUCAUUAUUGUUGAAACUGUCACUGUAUCCUGACAGUAGCACAUAAGACAGAUCAUCUGUGAAAAAAUCAGGUUCCUCUGGCUCCUCCUUGUAGUGCUAAUGGCAUUUGCAAGAAUCCACCAGGCCCCAAAUGAAAACAACCAAUCAGAGCCGAGAUGGAUGGAAAGACACUUUUGGUUGAUGCUUUAUUCAGACAAACAAUCAACUAUCUUGAGAGAAACAUGAUUUUUUUCCUGUCAGAAUAAUAAGAUUUCAGAAAAUAUGACAAAAAAAUAUUUUGCCCCUUUAAUUCUUGACCUUGAAAUAUAGGUUUUACAUGUUGGAUUAGCCUGCUGAUCUGGGGCAAAAAUGUUCUGUCGGUACCAAUUGUGCUCCCUGUUUUGCCCUGGAACCAACCGGUAUAUAUUUUCUGGAAUAUUAUCAGCCCAAAAGAUAUUACACAUUGCAUAAAAAUACCUUUGUAAGGCAGCUAGCGUGGUUGUACAGCAGUGCUUUGAAGUAAAUGCUAAUGCUAAUAUGUCAGCACCAUCAACAUAUAAAAGACAUCACAUCUCCACUUCCUCCCACUGUAAAAACAAGCCAGAUACAGGUACGGCUGCUCAGUCAGGACAAUCAGCAGGACUCAGCUGUCAAUCACCUGUUGAUAGCUACAAAAACUUAACUUAUCAUAAAAGUGAACAUACGUGGUAAAAACAACCUAAAAUUCCAGAAACCAUCUUUGGGAAAAAAAUGAUUUGAUUGUAUUUUGAUUUUGCUAACACCAAGGCAGUGGGCUUUAUGACCUUUACUGCAGUCAGCCACCAGGGGGCAAUCGAGAUAUUUUGGCUUCAUUUUUGGAGAGCUGUCAUGUCGUCCAUCUUUAUAUGUCGAUGGUCUGGACAAUUAUAUUGCUAGCAUGUUACCAUGUUAACCAUCUUAGUUUUGUAUGUUAGCAUACUAAUUAGUGCUAACCACAAAGUACCAUAAAGCUGAUGGGAAUGUCAUCACUUUUACAGCUUUUUGGUCAUCUAUACCAACUUUUGUGUCAAUCCAUCUCGCAGAUUGUAGAAGAGGACCCGUUCCCUCUGUAAAUAAAAACAUUUUAAGCUAACAAACACACAAUUCCAAUAUUCAGAUGAUUAUACUCAAACAACAUACCUAAGAUAUAUUAUAAUAUAUUAUAUUAUAUUUCUG